CAAACCUGUCCUCACGUUCCGGAUAAUUGGGAGAAAUCCCUUGUAAUACGGGCGAGGGCGCUGAAGAGGCAUCUCUUUAGCAAGGAAGGUAGGAAGCAAUUCCUGCCGCGCGAGGAGGGGUUCGCGGCUUAUCAGCUAGUUGGUGGGGUAACGGCCUACCAAGGCGACGACGAGUAGCUGGUCUGAGAGGAUGGUCAGCCACAUUGGAACUGAGAUACUGUCCAG
This 225-nucleotide ribosomal RNA is filed under the name uncultured bacterium. RNAcentral's name for it is "partial 16S ribosomal RNA". It matches the Rfam family "Bacterial small subunit ribosomal RNA", at positions 122 to 334 of the family's 1533-position model. The record is from RNAcentral.